This 460-nucleotide ribosomal RNA is filed under the name uncultured bacterium. RNAcentral describes it as "partial 16S ribosomal RNA". It matches the Rfam family "Bacterial small subunit ribosomal RNA", at positions 338 to 795 of the family's 1533-position model. The record is from RNAcentral.
CCUACGGGAGGCAGCAGUGAGGAAUAUUGGUCAAUGGACGAGAGUCUGAACCAGCCAAGUAGCGUGAAGGAUGACUGCCCUAUGGGUUGUAAACUUCUUUUAUAUGGGAAUAAAACGUUCCACGUGUGGGAUUUUGUAUGUACCAUAUGAAUAAGGAUCGGCUAACUCCGUGCCAGCAGCCGCGGUAAUACGGAGGAUCCGAGCGUUAUCCGGAUUUAUUGGGUUUAAAGGGAGCGUAGGUGGAUUGUUUAGUCAGUUGUGAAAGUUUGCGGCUCAACCGUAAAAUUGCAGUUGAAACUGGCAGUCUUGAGUACAGUAGAGGUGGGCGGAAUUCGUGGUGUAGCGGUGAAAUGCUUAGAUAUCACGAAGAACUCCAAUUGCGAAGGCAGUUCACUGGACUGCAACUGACACUGAGGCUCGAAAGUGUGGGUAUCAAACAGGAUUAGAUACCCGAGUAGUC